Molecule: ribosomal RNA, 492 nt
Filed under: uncultured bacterium
Lineage: Bacteria
Description: partial 16S ribosomal RNA
Rfam family: Bacterial small subunit ribosomal RNA
Source: RNAcentral
AGUGAACGCUGGCGGUAGGCCUAACACAUGCAAGUCGAACGGCAGCACAGUAAGAGCUUGCUCGUACGGGUGGCGAGUGGCGGACGGGUGAGGAAUACAUCGGAAUCUACUUUUUCGUGGGGGAUAACGUAGGGAAACUUACGCUAAUACCGCAUACGACCUACGGGUGAAAGCAGGGGAUCUUCGGACCUUGCGCGAUUGAAUGAGCCGAUGUCGGAUUAGCUAGUUGGCGGGGUAAAGGCCCACCAAGGCGUCGAUCCGUAGCUGGUCUGAGAGGAUGAUCAGCCACACUGGAACUGAGACACGGUCCAGACUCCUACGGGAGGCAGCAGUGGGGAAUAUUGGACAAUGGGCGCAAGCCUGAUCCAGCCAUACCGCGUGGGUGAAGAAGGCCUUCGGGUUGUAAAGCCCUUUUGUUGGGAAAGAAAAGCAGCAGGUUAAUACCCCGCUGUUCUGACGGUACCCAAAGAAUAAGCACCGGCUAACUUCGUG